GGAAAGACCCCGUGAACCUUUACUACAGCUUGGCACUGAACAUUGAACCUACAUGUGUAGGAUAGGUGGGAGGCUUUGAAGCACAGUCGCUAGAUUGUGUGGAGCCGUCCUUGAAAUACCACCCUUGUAUGUUUGAUGUUCUAACAUUGACCCCUUAUCGGGGUUGUGGACAGUGUCUGGUGGGUAGUUUGACUGGGGCGGUCUCCUCCCAAAUAGUAACGGAGGAGCACGAAGGUUAGCUAAUCACGGUCGGACAUCGUGAGGUUAGUGCAAUGGCAUAAGCUAGCUUAACUGCGAGACAGACACGUCGAGCAGGUACGAAAGUAGGUCAUAGUGAUCCGGUGGUUCUGUAUGGAAGGGCCAUCGCUCAACGGAUAAAAGGUACUCUGGGGAUAACAGGCUGAUACCGCCCAAGAGUUCAUAUCGACGGCGGUGUUUGGCACCUCGAUGUCGGCUC
Molecule: ribosomal RNA, 457 nt
Filed under: Lotharella globosa
Lineage: Eukaryota; Cercozoa; Chlorarachniophyceae
Description: partial Bacterial large subunit ribosomal RNA
Rfam family: Bacterial large subunit ribosomal RNA
Source: RNAcentral